UGAAUGAUACUUUGAAGGUUAUUCUUGAUGCCACUGAGUUUGGAGUUGGGAAGAGAGGCAGCAACUGGCUCUUGCAAGUUGGUGUGAAGUGGCUCCACACUAAUACCCCAAGGCUUGUAAUGGUCCCCCACGCUGGUUGGGCUCUUGCCACAAAGAGCAAGAGAAGGCAACUUCUCCAUGGCUGGAUGUGCAAAAAAGCAACCCUGGAGGCCAUCUGGAAAAGGCAGC
Molecule: long non-coding RNA, 228 nt
Organism: Talpa occidentalis (Iberian mole)
Lineage: Eukaryota; Metazoa; Chordata; Mammalia; Eulipotyphla; Talpidae
Exons: 3
Source: RefSeq, a predicted model, not a curated record